GAAACACUCCUUUACACACUUGUCGCAGAGAGCACAGAUAGAGGGGAUCCCAAGUGCUAGUUCGUAAGAGCUAGCUGUUUUUCUGUCUAAAAAACAGUGAGAGUAAGGGCUGGGUAAGACGGGUGCCAGCCGCCGCGGUAAUACCUGCAGCCCAAGUAGUGACCGUUAUUAUUGGGCCUAAAACGUCCGUAGCCUGUUUGGUAAAUGCUUGGGUAAAUCGUGUGGCUUAACCAUACGAAUACCGGGUAGACUGCCAGACUUGAGACCGGGAGAGGUUGGAGGUACUCCUGGGGUAGAGGUGAAAUUCUGUAAUCCGGGGGGGACCACCAGUGGCGAAGGCGUCCAACCAGAACGGGUCUGACGGUGAGGGACGAAGCCCUGGGGGGCAAACCGGAUUAGAUACCCGGGUAGUCCAGGGUGUAAACGCUGCUUGCUUGAUGUUAGGUCGGCUCCGAGCCUGCCUAGUGUCGGAGAGAAGUUGUUAAGCAAGCUGCCUGGGAAGAACGGUCGCAAGACUGUAACUUAAAGGAAUUGGCGGGGAAAAGGGCGAAUUCCCCGCCCCCUAAAUUCAAUUCCCCCUAUAGUGAGUCGUAUUACAAUUCACUGGCCGCGGUUUUAAAAA
This 622-nucleotide ribosomal RNA is filed under the name uncultured euryarchaeote. Its description in RNAcentral is "bacterial SSU rRNA". It matches the Rfam family "Archaeal small subunit ribosomal RNA", at positions 308 to 1478 of the family's 1478-position model. The record is from RNAcentral. Lineage: Archaea; Methanobacteriati; Methanobacteriota.